This 527-nucleotide non-coding RNA is filed under the name Pongo abelii (Sumatran orangutan). Lineage: Eukaryota; Metazoa; Chordata; Mammalia; Primates; Hominidae. The record is from RNAcentral.
CGGGGUCGCGGGGGCAGGCGGGGGGUCCCUGGGUCCAGCAGGGAGUGGCCUCCCGGAAGACGCCGGCGAGGGAGGCCCAAGUGCCUGCUCCGAGAAAUCUCAGCGAGGCCUCCUUGGGAGAAAAGUGCAAGGCGGUGACGUCCAGUCUGUAAAAUGUGAAAAACGCCCAGGCCGAAACCACCCAGAACCCGUUCCUGCAGGGAGGAGGGUGGGUGGGACCAACAGGGGAUCAGUCACUGCCCCAAGGCAGGGACUAGCGCUAUGGUGGACGACGGGGGUCUACCUCAGUGUUCCCCAGACACAGGCGGGUUCCUACUGUCUGGCCCCACUUAUGUGAAGUUCUAGAAUAAGCCCCACAUUUUCUGGUGACAGCAAACAGGUGGCAUUAUUUAUAGAUGUAGGGGCAGGUAUUUAUGGGAGCGGCACAGAGAAGAGCAUGAGCUAGGGAGUGGAGGGGGGCAUCCACUGAUUCUGAGAUCCUAUAUUUCUUUGAGAAAACAACUGAAUAAAACAUAGCAAAAUAAUAA